GCAUCAAAUCAAUGUGUAAAUGAAGAGUGCAGCUAAUUGUGAUAUGCAUUGCAAAUUGCAGAAUCCCGUGAGUCAAUAUGACUUCGAAUGUGAUUACAUGCUCAAGCAGUUCUUGGGUGUGCUCAUUUUUCAAUACAUAGAACUCACAUUCUUGUCCAC
Molecule: ribosomal RNA, 159 nt
Filed under: Ostreopsis lenticularis
Lineage: Eukaryota; Dinophyceae; Peridiniales; Ostreopsidaceae
Description: 5.8S ribosomal RNA
Rfam family: 5.8S ribosomal RNA (bases 20-138)
About the family: 5.8S ribosomal RNA (5.8S rRNA) is a component of the large subunit of the eukaryotic ribosome. It is transcribed by RNA polymerase I as part of the 45S precursor that also contains 18S and 28S rRNA.
Source: RNAcentral